Molecule: ribosomal RNA, 270 nt
Filed under: uncultured archaeon
Lineage: Archaea
Description: partial 16S ribosomal RNA
Rfam family: Archaeal small subunit ribosomal RNA
Source: RNAcentral
CAGCACCUCAAGUGGUCAGGAUGAUUAUUGGGCCUAAAGCAUCCGUAGCCGGCGCUGUAAGUUUUCGGUUAAAUCUGUACGCUCAACGUACUGGCUGCCGGGAAUACUGCAGCGCUAGGGAGUGGGAGAGGUAGACGGUACUCGGUAGGAAGGGGUAAAAUCCUUUGAUCUAUUGAUGACCACCUGUGGCGAAGGCGGUCUGCCAGAACACGUCCGACGGUGAGGGAUGAAAGCUGGGGGAGCAAACCGGAUUAGAUACCCGAGUAGUCC